GCGGGCAUCGUAUAAUGGCUAUUACCUCAGCCUUCCAAGCUGAUGAUGCGGUUCGAUUCCCGCUGCCCGCUCCA
This 74-nucleotide transfer RNA is filed under the name Enterobacter cloacae. RNAcentral describes it as "tRNA-Gly". It matches the Rfam family "tRNA". Rfam says of the family: Transfer RNA (tRNA) molecules are approximately 80 nucleotides in length. Their secondary structure includes four short double-helical elements and three loops (D, anti-codon, and T loops). Further hydrogen bonds mediate the characteristic L-shaped molecular structure. tRNAs have two regions of fundamental functional importance: the anti-codon, which is responsible for specific mRNA codon recognition, and the 3' end, to which the tRNAs corresponding amino acid is attached (by aminoacyl-tRNA synthetases). tRNAs cope with the degeneracy of the genetic code in two manners: having more than one tRNA (with a specific anti-codon) for a particular amino acid; and 'wobble' base-pairing, i.e. permitting non-standard base-pairing at the 3rd anti-codon position. The record is from RNAcentral. Lineage: Bacteria; Pseudomonadati; Pseudomonadota; Gammaproteobacteria; Enterobacterales; Enterobacteriaceae. RNAcentral also lists the same sequence under 4 other names.